GUGAUUCAGAGCUGAGAGAUUCGAGAUCAACUCAAGACCCCCAAUUGUAUUGCCCAAGGAGCCAGGGAGAUGCUGUAUGUGUGGUCUUUUAUCCGAACUAUAGGAUUCCAAGGGAGAUACUAUCAUCCCAUCUCAUACAGAAAUAAGAGUGGCAGGGAAAAGAGAAGUCUGAAGUACAUGAAAACACGGGCUUCGGAGCUAGAGGAAGCUGGCCUUCUUAAAUACCGUCUCCCACUUCCAUGCUGUGACCUUGAUAAACCUAUUCAAGAUACCCACCUUGCUGAUUAGAAAAAAGAUUAAGAUGAAAUGGACUCGGCGCACCUGGUAGGCACUCCCCUUAAUGAUUACAACUGAAGAACUAUCUCAGAGGUUUCUGACCUAGGGCUAAAUUGCUUUCACUCUCUAAUGACUAAUGGAUUGGCGGGAUGGUCUAAGCUUUUGUCCUGGCCACCUGAACUGCUCAGCCCUGGGAGUCUUGACAAGCAAUUUCCUUGGAAUUAGCUUAAUAAUGCCUCGUAGGUGUGUGAUGCAUUUCAAAGAACUUUCCCAUCAUUAUCUUGGGUCCUAGCCGGCAGCUGGGCUCAGAGAGAAGUGGCUUGCUCCAGGUCACAUGGCACAUGAGCCUGCAGCUUUCCCUGGUGUUAACUUCUAAGUGAACAGAAGGCAGACUACUGUGGUAGAGUAAAAAAGGUCCCUCAGAACUGAGGCUCACUGGAGGCACAGUCUGUAGCCUGCAGUACUCAGCAAGUCCGGGAUUUUCACCCUCGAUGGGCUGUAUCCAGAGAACACAGCACAGCCUAACACACCAUCCAAGGUGGAGAUAACCAGUCUUAAGGUUAUUUGGGGCAAGGGUUUCUCACAUGGGAACUCCCGACCUCCAGAAGGUUGGAGGUCUGCUAUUACUCUUAAAAAAUUCAUGUGUGCCUUCGGAAGGAUGCUCAUAUCGUCCUUCAACUCAUCAGAGGAAAUCAGGACCCAGAUCAGGAUUAAAAACUAUUCAUCAGACUGUAGGAUGAUUGGCAAAGACAGAGGUUGCACCCCCCCCCUUUGACCCUGGUUCACCCCAAAAGGCUUACUAGGGUUAAUGCACAAAGGGUAAUGACAUGACCCUUUUGUUAUGAAAUAUUAGUAACUAUGCCAAGACCCAACACACAGAGAUCAUAUAAACAGGAAUUCAGUGAGGCCAGGAGCCUGGUGCAUCCCACCUGGGGAGGCACCGUGUUGGGGGUGAAUAGAUGGGACAUGGGCUGAUGUCUUUUUCUUUGCUGGCCAGUAAGAUCCUAGUCAUGCCCAACAAAAUCCUAGUCAGUUUUCUCAAACUCACAGGUCAAAGUUAAAAGUUUAGAGCUCGAAGGGAACGUGCAGCAUUGCUUCCCAGCUAGCCUGCAUCUCCGACAGAGGCUGAAGAUUUGAGAGACCCUGGUUUUGGUUUGGUUUUUCCAAUACAGGCUCUUACUAUGUAGCUCUGGUUGUCCUGGAACUCACUACCUACGUAGGCUUGCCUCAAAUUCAGAGAAAUGCCUAUCUCUGCCUCCCAAGUGCUGGAAUUAAAGGUGUGUUAUCGCUAUGCGCAGCAAUUGAGGGUUUUUUGGUUUUGGAAGUCUAGAAGGAAGCUAGACCAGAAAGCAUGAGGGAACUGAGACCAGGCCUGGCAGUCAGUUUAUUCAU
RNAcentral lists this long non-coding RNA (1668 nucleotides) under Cricetulus griseus (Chinese hamster). RNAcentral's name for it is "lncRNA (ENSCGRG00015029232.1)". The record is from RNAcentral. Lineage: Eukaryota; Metazoa; Chordata; Mammalia; Rodentia; Cricetidae.